Non-coding RNA from Lasiosphaeris hirsuta, 96 nucleotides. The record is from the annotation of a GenBank genome assembly. NCBI's taxonomy places the organism in Eukaryota, Fungi, Ascomycota, Sordariomycetes, Sordariales, Lasiosphaeriaceae.
GGUCGGGUGGCGUAAUGGUAGCGCGUUACUUUCCGGUAUUGAUAGCCAUCAACUCCCACCUGGUAAAGGCUCUGGGUUCGAAUCCCAGCUCAAUCG